UACCGCAUAAGCGCACGGUAUCGCAUGAUACAGUGUAGAAAAACUCCGGUGGUAUAAGAUGGACCCGCGUCUGAUUAGCUUGUUGGUGAGGUAACGGCCCACCAAGGCGACGAUCAGUAGCCGGCCUGAGAGGGUGAACGGCCACAUUGGGACUGAGACACGGCCCAAACUCCUACGGGGAGGCAGCAGUGGGGAAUAUUGCACAAUGGGGGAAACCCUGAUGCAGCGACGCCGCGUGAGUGAUGAAGUAUUUCGGUAUGUAAAACUCUAUCAGCAGGGAAGAUAAUGACGGUACCUGACUAAGAAGCACCGGCUAAAUACGUG
Molecule: ribosomal RNA, 324 nt
Filed under: uncultured bacterium
Lineage: Bacteria
Description: bacterial SSU rRNA
Rfam family: Bacterial small subunit ribosomal RNA
Source: RNAcentral